GUGAGGAAUAUUGGACAAUGGGCGCAAGCCUGAUCCAGCCAUGCCGCGUGCAGGAAGACGCAUCUAUGGUGUGUAAACUGCUUUUGUACGGGAAGAAACACUCCCUCGUGAGGGAGCUAGACGGUACCGUAAGAAUAAGGAUCGGCUAACUCCGUGCCAGCAGCCGCGGUAAUACGGAGGAUCCAAGCGUUAUCCGGAAUCAUUGGGUUUAAAGGGUCCGUAGGCGGUUUAAUAAGUCAGUGGUGAAAGCCCAUCGCUCAACGAUGGAACGGCCAUUGAUACUGUUAGACUUGAAUUACAAGGAAGUAACUAGAAUAUGUAGUGUAGCGGUGAAAUGCUUAGAUAUUACAUGGAAUACCAAUUGCGAAGGCAGGUUACUACUUGUGGAUUGACGCUGAUGGACGAAAGCGUGGGGAGCGAACAGGAUUAGAUACCCUUGUAGUCC
RNAcentral lists this ribosomal RNA (445 nucleotides) under uncultured bacterium. Its description in RNAcentral is "partial 16S ribosomal RNA". It matches the Rfam family "Bacterial small subunit ribosomal RNA", at positions 354 to 796 of the family's 1533-position model. The record is from RNAcentral.